CAAAGUCGUCUUCUUGUUCCUCAAUGUUACGUUAGGGUUUGCAGAGUUCCUCUUUGAUCUCUAACCAUUGCGUCUUUCUGUUCUGAAUUGUGACACAAACCCAAUAGGAUAUUGCAAUUCACCUCAUACCUUCGUUUCUGCAACUCCCCAAAUUCAAUUGUAUCAACUGCACCGUGCUGGGUAUCAUCACGAACCUUUUCAUUCUUAGUUGGAACUUAUGGAUCAGGAAGCUGAGAAUAGCAGCACUGUGAAGAAAAGGAUUUCAGCAUGUAAUAUUGAGGCUUUGAGAAAGUGCUUGGAAGAGAAUAAUGGGGAUUACUUCAAAUGUCAAUCACAUAUUGAGGCUUUUAAGGAAUCAUGCUCACUGAAGAAACCAAAUCCCUCUCUUGAUUCUGCACCACCUCUCAAGACAAGUGUUGGAAAUUAAGUUAAAUGAAAUGAAUUUUGAGCACCUCCAAAGAUGUUAUAUGUACUGAUAUACAAUGAUUCUUGAGAAAAUAUUAAUGUUCUCAAGUUGUGGCUUUAUACAAUAAUAAAUUUCAUGAGCUUAAUCAGUGAUUGUUUUGGAUGAAAAUCGACAUUAUGCAGAUUGAGUCAGAUGUUUUGGCCACACUUUUGUGGCAUUGAA
This is a long non-coding RNA of Lotus japonicus, 628 nucleotides long. RefSeq lists it as uncharacterized. The record is from RefSeq and is a predicted model, not a curated record. Lineage: Eukaryota; Viridiplantae; Streptophyta; Magnoliopsida; Fabales; Fabaceae. The transcript is spliced from 2 exons.